AGAGUUUGAUCAUGGCUCAGGAUGAACGCUGGCGGCGUGCCUAACACAUGCAAGUCGAACGAAGCAUUCCAGAAGAGGUCUUCGGAAGGAUUUUGGGAUGACUUAGUGGCGGACGGGUGAGUAACGCGUGGGCAACCUGCCCUGCACAGGGGGAUAACAGCCGGAAACGGCUGCUAAUACCGCAUAAGCGCACGGAACCGCAUGGUUCUGUGUGAAAAACUCCGGUGGUGCAGGAUGGGCCCGCGUUGGAUUAGGUAGUUGGUGGGGCAACGGCCUACCAAGCCGACGAUCCAUAGCCGGCCUGAGAGGGUGGACGGCCACAUUGGGACUGAGACACGGCCCAAACUCCUACGGGAGGCAGCAGUGGGGGAUAUUGCACAAUGGGCGCAAGCCUGAUGCAGCGACGCCGCGUGAGCGAAGAAGUAUUUCGGUAUGUAAAGCUCUAUCAGCAGGGAAGAAAUGACGGUACCUGACUAAGAAGCUCCGGCUAAAUACGUGCCAGCAGCCGCGGUAAUACGUAUGGAGCAAGCGUUAUCCGGAUUUACUGGGUGUAAAGGGAGCGCAGACGGGACAGCAAGUCUGAUGUGAAAGGCGGGGGCUCAACCCCUGGACUGCAUUGGAAACUGUUGACCUUGAGUGCCGGAGAGGUAAGCGGAAUUCCUAGUGUAGCGGUGAAAUGCGUAGAUAUUAGGAGGAACACCAGUGGCGAAGGCGGCUUACUGGACGGCAACUGACGUUGAGGCUCGAAAGCGUGGGGAGCAAACAGGAUUAGAUACCCUGGUAGUCCACGCCGUAAACGA
RNAcentral lists this ribosomal RNA (800 nucleotides) under uncultured bacterium. RNAcentral's name for it is "bacterial SSU rRNA". It matches the Rfam family "Bacterial small subunit ribosomal RNA", at positions 8 to 809 of the family's 1533-position model. The record is from RNAcentral.